This 440-nucleotide ribosomal RNA is filed under the name uncultured bacterium. Its description in RNAcentral is "partial 16S ribosomal RNA". It matches the Rfam family "Bacterial small subunit ribosomal RNA", at positions 338 to 795 of the family's 1533-position model. The record is from RNAcentral.
CCUACGGAGUGCAGCAGUGGGGAAUAUUGCACAAUGGGGGAAACCCUGAUGCAGCGACGCCGCGUGGGUGACGAAGUAUUUCGGUAUGUAAAGCCCUAUCAGCAGGGAAGAAGAUGACAGUACCUGACCAAGCAGCCCCGGCUAACUACGUGCCAGCAGCCGCGGUAAUACGUAGGGGGCAAGCGUUAUCCGGAUUUACUGGGUGUAAAGGGAGCGUAGGUGGCAUGGCAAGCCAGAAGUGAAAACCCGGGGCUUAACCCCGCGGAUUGCUUUUGGAACUGUCAGGCUGGAGUGCAGGAGGGGCAGGCGGAAUUCCUGGUGUAGCGGUGAAAUGCGUAGAUAUCAGGAGGAACACCGGUGGCGAAGGCGGCCUGCUGGACUGUAACUGACACUGAGGCUCGAAAGCGUGGGGAGCAAACAGGAUUAGAUACCCUGUAGUC